This 254-nucleotide ribosomal RNA is filed under the name uncultured bacterium. Its description in RNAcentral is "partial 16S ribosomal RNA". It matches the Rfam family "Bacterial small subunit ribosomal RNA", at positions 524 to 776 of the family's 1533-position model. The record is from RNAcentral.
UACGGGGGGAGCAAGCGUUGUUCGGAUUUACUGGGCGUAAAGGGCGCGUAGGCGGUCAGCGCAAGUCAGUUGUGAAAUCUCUGGGCUUAACUCAGAACGGUCAACUGAUACUGCGCGACUAGAGUGCAGAAGGGGCAACUGGAAUUCUCGGUGUAGCGGUGAAAUGCGUAGAUAUCGAGAGGAACACCUGCGGCGAAGGCGGGUUGCUGGGCUGACACUGACGCUGAGGCGCGAAAGCUAGGGGAGCGAACGGG